This 528-nucleotide ribosomal RNA is filed under the name uncultured bacterium. RNAcentral describes it as "bacterial SSU rRNA". It matches the Rfam family "Bacterial small subunit ribosomal RNA", at positions 355 to 900 of the family's 1533-position model. The record is from RNAcentral.
UGGGGAAUAUUGGACAAUGGGCGCAAGCCUGAUCCAGCCAUGCCGCGUGAGUGAUGAAGGCCCUAGGGUUGUAAAGCUCUUUCAACGGUGAAGAUAAUGACGGUAACCGUAGAAGAAGCCCCGGCCAACUACGUGCCAGCAGCCGCGGUGACACGUAGGCACCAAGCGUUAUCCGGAUUUAUUGGGCGUAAAGAGCUCGUAGGCGGUUCGGUAAGUCGGGUGUGAAAAUCCAAGGCUCAACCUUGGGACGCCACCCGAUACUGCUGUGACUCGAGUGCAGUAGGGGGAGCAGGGAAUUCCUGGUGUAGCGGUGAAAUGCGCAGAUAUCAGGAGGAACACCAGUGGCGAAGGCGCUGCUCUGGGCUGUAACUGACGCUGAGGAGCGAAAGCAUGGGUAGCAAAACAGGAUUAGAUACCCUGGUAGUCCACACCGUAAACGAUGAAUGCCAGUCGUCGGUAGCAUGCUAUUCGGUGACACACCUAACGGAUUAAGCAUUCCGCCUGGGAGUACGGUCGCAAGAUUAAAAG